This is a long non-coding RNA of Anastrepha obliqua, 205 nucleotides long. RefSeq lists it as uncharacterized. NCBI's taxonomy places the organism in Eukaryota, Metazoa, Arthropoda, Insecta, Diptera, Tephritidae. The transcript is spliced from 3 exons. The record is from RefSeq and is a predicted model, not a curated record.
GCGCAACUUUGCAGGUCGGCAGCAAAUUUUGGUAAAUUUUCGUUGGUGUUGGUGGCGGAAGGAUGGACAAAUUUCUCUUGAAAAACUCACAGGAUGGACAAGACAGCAGCAUUGAGGCAAUUGAGGAGGACAACCAGCUAGCAAAAAGGCAGCGAGUCGGAAGAUCAUCGGUGUGGGGCCAUUUCGAAAAAAUAAACAACGGUAU